This 1641-nucleotide long non-coding RNA is filed under the name Gossypium raimondii (Peruvian cotton). RNAcentral describes it as "long non-coding RNA (GRAI_LNC004905)". The record is from RNAcentral. Lineage: Eukaryota; Viridiplantae; Streptophyta; Magnoliopsida; Malvales; Malvaceae.
GUUUCUAUUUUUAUUCCUUUCUUUGAUUCACCAUUUCUUUAGUUUACCCAUUUUAUUUGUUUCAAUAUAAUUGCUGAUUGUCGUUUCAUUGGAGUUCAUUCGUUUUCCUUUUUUUUUCACUGUUGACAUCAAAGUUUUAUGGAAUUAGUAUUGUGGUGGCAAAUCGAUCGUUUGUUGGCGUUUGGGAGGACGUUAAUAGUCGUAAUUGCGGAUGGAUAUUGUGGUUUAAUUUCGUGUUUUGUAGCAAGGGUUGGUGUGGUCCUAUGUUUGCAGAUUUUUCAACUUUUUACAGUUUGUAAUUUUCUGUUUCACCUUUCUUGCUUUUUUUUAAAACUUGACUUACGACUUGCAUAAUUAUUUUGAUAGACUUAAGACCUACCCAUUAGCACUCAACCACUUUAUGGUGUGCGAACCACAAACGAACUAUUCUAUGUUCUUGGAGUUAUUCAUUUCUUAUGGUUUCCCACUAUAUUAGCUAAUUUUAAUUUUCUUUUCUUUUUAUCAUUUCUUAUAUUACAAAAUACCCAUUUAUUAUUAUCAAGACAAGGAUUUUUCAUGCAUCCAAUUCUUGACCGCUUUAGAUCCUGCAUUAGGUUGUUUAGUUAUUAGUAAUGCUCGUUCCUCAUUUUCAUUUAUAAGUUAUCUUUGUAUUUUAUGUGGACUAAUUGUCUUUAGUGUCACACUCAAAACUACUUUUCAUGAAUUCAUUUAUGUUUUCUUCCUUGAUGACUUGUUAUAAUAAUUUUGUAAUAUGAAAUUGAUUGAAAGUGUUAAACAAAAUUUACGUAUGUCGAUCAUCUGACUAAUUGAUGUUGGUUAUAAAUAUGUUUGAGAGCCGUUGGUAACUGAAUAUGAGAAUGUUCAAUUCUAUAUAUCUGUAUGUAUAAUACCAUUUGCAUUUGCAUUUGUGAUUGGGACAUGGUUUUGAAGUGAAGGAAGUUUGUAUUAGCAGUUUCGCUACAUCUUUAUAUUUUUAGUAGUAUUUCCGCAUUACUAAAAGUGGCAUACUACCACUCCAUGGUGUGGAUUGGUUGGAUGGGUCCGCCAUAACCCGAUAGUGGUGUGUAGAGGAUGGAAGGGUUUAAAAAAGACCCUAUUUUUAGUGUGUGACGGUUGAUUGGAGAUGAUGUGUAGAGACUAUAUAGGUGGGGGUUUUGUGACAUUUUGCAUUUGAAUGCAAUUUGCAUGUUUGUCUAAGGAUAAUGUGAAAUAAUGCAUUAAAUUCGAUGUGAUAUUUGAAAUUGUAUUGAUCUCGGUCAUUGCGAGUUCGAUCAGUUCUAUGUGUAUACGUUUUUGCUUAUCUGCUAGGUGUUACAAAAAUGCGAUAUGCCAAUCUGAUAAGAUUUCUGUUAACGAUUCGAUUUAGUUAUUUUGUAAUACUUAGUGAACUGUUCGACUCUGUGUAAUUACGUUUGCUUAAGAUUCACAUUAAGCUUUCGUAGCUCACUCCCUUAAUUUCUCCUUUUCAGGUAACCCUCGUAUUUAGGUGUUGGACUCGGCAUAUCGGAGGUCUCAGAAUUUUUUUUCAAUUCGGUUUGGUUUUUAAUAAAGUUUUUUGUAAGCUUUGAUAAAUUGUUUUCAUACAGACUUUAAAUAAAUUUUAUGGGCUGUGGUGUAAGUUUCAUUUGGACUUGUAAGUUG